This is a non-coding RNA of Zea mays, 96 nucleotides long. Lineage: Eukaryota; Viridiplantae; Streptophyta; Magnoliopsida; Poales; Poaceae. The record is from Rfam.
GAUUUGUGGUGAUGAAUUAUGAACACACUUCGCAUGUCAGACUUUGGAGAUGUUUCUGGCAUCAAUGAGAAGAUCAUUCAUAUAACUGAGCAAUGC